Molecule: long non-coding RNA, 2317 nt
Organism: Cynoglossus semilaevis (tongue sole)
Lineage: Eukaryota; Metazoa; Chordata; Actinopteri; Pleuronectiformes; Cynoglossidae
Exons: 3
Source: RefSeq, a predicted model, not a curated record
UGGUAGCUAUAUAUAUAUACAUAUAUAUACUGUAUGUAUAUAUGUAUAUAUAUAUAUUUAUAUUAUAUUUUUUUGCUUAAGAGGUCAUUCUCAUGAAAGUAAUGCUUUUAGUCAUAAAAAUGUGCAUUUUAGUAAAAUAACAAACAUAAAACUUAAAAAAAAACAUAAAAAUAAAGCUAAUAAUUUUCUCUACAUGGAUCAAAGAGUAAAUUCAACGUAGAAUUAAUUUUAUUUAUAUUUUCUUACAUUUUAUGACAACUAUCACGUUGCAAUUUGUCCAAAUUUUCUGAAUGUAUGUUAUGUUGUUAUUUAACAACUUAACACAAAUUUAUCCUAGAGAAAAAUGGAUGCUCUACUGUUUUGAUGUGACUGAAAAAUUACUAAUUCAAUGUAUAUGUUUAAUAAUACUGAAAAAAUAGAGGAAAAAUUAAGUGGCCAUGUUUUUCCAGAGCUUUCAAGUCGGCUACCAUCAUAAGAAUAUGAUAUUCUCAUGAUAUUUUGACAUAUUAGGAUGUAAUGUUUUUUGAAUUUUUUUUUUCAUUUUAAGGCAAAUCGGUUUUUUUCGCAAUAGUAAGACUAUGGUCUUGCUUGUUUUUGGUCAUAUUUUGACAUGAUCAUAUACCAUGAGUUUUUGGCACAAAAUAUUUACUUGGCAGCAUUUUUUGGGCCAUAAACAUGCAUUUAAAUUAAUUUCUCUGACUUUUUUUUUUAUUUUUCAACAUUUUUUGCUAUAGUAAGACUACAGGCUUGAUUGUUUUUGGUGAUAUUUUGACAUUUUGAUAUUUUGUUCAGAUAUGAUGUUUUGGGAGUUUUUAACACAAAUCUUGUGGGAAAUUUUUCUGUGAUAGUAAGGCUUGUUUUGGGUGAUAUUUCGCCAUGUUCAGAUAAUUUGUUUUUAGUUUAUAGCACAAAUUAUUCACUUGGCAGCAUGUUUUGGGUCUUAUCGAGGGUACAUAUUUAAGCAUGUGUGCCCGCUCGUGAUAUAUAUGAUAUAUGAUUAUGUAAAUCCCUCCAGGUGUAAUAGCAAACCCGUAUCGCCAUCACCUGGGCCGGUGGACUCCACGACGCCAAGAAGUCUGAAUCAUCUGGUUGCUGUUACGUGAAUGACAUCGUCCUGGCCGUUUUUGAGCUGCUCAAGCUAAAAGAAGAGGUUUAACCAAGUUGUUCCACUCCUGAUGAUGGGACUUUUGUUGAAUCCCGUGAGCACGUGGUGGUGAGUAUGUGAACUGUCCAUCUUUACCUGAAGUGUUAAAAUAAAGCUGAGAGUUACUGUUGUAAUUUGACUUGUAGUGAAAUGUGUAUCUAUGGACUUGUGGAGUGUUUCUGCAAUUAAAAGAGUCAAAAGUUGUUGUUAUUUCAUUCAUUGUACAAGUGUUGUGGUUGGUUUCUUUAACUUAGCUUUUUACUUAAUGCUUACUUUUUACUACUUAGCAUUUUACUGUCUUAGGGCAUAAACUUGCAUUUCGAGGUAUUUAUCGGACUUUCAUUUAUUUGACUUAUUUUUAACAGUAACACUCUAGUUUUACCUGUUUUUGGUUCAUCUUCAUGAAAUCAUUAGUACACCAUGGAAGUAAUUGUAGUAAUAAAACAUACAUUUGUAAUAAAGAAAUUAAUUUUAUUUACGUUUCAAAGUUUUAUGACAACUUUCUCAUUACUGCUAUGCAUCCAGGUUUGUGUGAAGGCAUGCUGUUAUUUUAACAGAUUAAGACAGAUGUUUAGAACAUUUAAUGGACACUAACUAUGAUAUGAUUUCAUAGUUAAGUAAAUGAAAUAUUACUAGUUAAAUGUAUUGCAAUACAUUUAGCAGACACUUUGAAUGAAAGCGACUUACGAUUUGAGUCAAUCAACAAGAGGAGACCUUUAUUUUUGGGCUUGAUUUUGGAUUGAUGUCUCAAAAAUACAAAUAAUAAAUAGUAAAAGUACAGUUAUAGGUCAUAGAAUAAGAAGUAUCUUUAUGUAAAAGUAGAGGAAAAAUGGGUGUUAGCCUAAGGGGAUACAUCUGAAUGUGGUGACCUGGGUUGACUUCAGGCAAGGUAAUUGUGAAGGUUUACGUCAAUCAGCCACAGCGUUAUGUUCAAACUGACUGUUGCAGCUUUCAUUCUUUUUCCAAAUAACAUUUCAAAGGUCAGUGUUAUAUCUUGCCCAAGGCUUUAACUGCUAGGAGAUAUUAAAUUAAACCUUCAUCAGCGUAAUAGUACUUUUAUUAAGUAGAAUACUGUAGUACACUUUCCACCUCUGACUGUGUGAUUGUGUGAUAGACUCUUCAGAGACUGAGCUGUAUGGCACAUAGUUACAACCAAACUCCAAAAACAUCAUA